Mastomys coucha (southern multimammate mouse) is the source of this 120-nucleotide small nucleolar RNA. RefSeq annotates it as small nucleolar RNA SNORA26. The transcript has a single exon. The record is from RefSeq and is a predicted model, not a curated record. Lineage: Eukaryota; Metazoa; Chordata; Mammalia; Rodentia; Muridae.
UUACCAUAGGAAACUGACAAUAAGAAAAUAAAAGGGCUGACACAGAAGGGUAAAGGAACUCUCCAUAAACCAGAGAGGAAAACUGCACCUCCUCUUUGGAUCCUGUCUGGAGUCACAGAU